This 73-nucleotide transfer RNA is filed under the name Fasciola hepatica (liver fluke). It matches the Rfam family "tRNA". Rfam says of the family: Transfer RNA (tRNA) molecules are approximately 80 nucleotides in length. Their secondary structure includes four short double-helical elements and three loops (D, anti-codon, and T loops). Further hydrogen bonds mediate the characteristic L-shaped molecular structure. tRNAs have two regions of fundamental functional importance: the anti-codon, which is responsible for specific mRNA codon recognition, and the 3' end, to which the tRNAs corresponding amino acid is attached (by aminoacyl-tRNA synthetases). tRNAs cope with the degeneracy of the genetic code in two manners: having more than one tRNA (with a specific anti-codon) for a particular amino acid; and 'wobble' base-pairing, i.e. permitting non-standard base-pairing at the 3rd anti-codon position. Lineage: Eukaryota; Metazoa; Platyhelminthes; Trematoda; Plagiorchiida; Fasciolidae. The record is from Rfam by way of RNAcentral.
GCCGCGAUAACUCAGCUGGUAGAGCACCUGCCCUGUAUGUGGGGGGUCACCGGUUCGAUUCCGGCUCGCGGCG